UACGUAGGGGGCGAGCGUUAUCCGGAAUUAUUGGGCGUAAAGAGUGCGUAGGUGGUUUUUUAAGCGUGGGGUGAAAGGCAAUAGCUUAACUAUUGUAAGCCCCGCGAACUGGGAGACUUGAGUGCAGGAGAGGAAAGCGGAAUUCCUAGUGUAGCGGUGAAAUGCGUAGAUAUUAGGAGGAACACCAGUGGCGAAGGCGGCUUUCUGGACUGUAACUGACACUGAGGCACGAAAGCGUGGGGAGCAAACAGGAUUAGAUACCCCGGUAGUCCCUGAGCGGGCU
This 283-nucleotide ribosomal RNA is filed under the name uncultured prokaryote. Its description in RNAcentral is "partial 16S ribosomal RNA". It matches the Rfam family "Bacterial small subunit ribosomal RNA", at positions 524 to 817 of the family's 1533-position model. The record is from RNAcentral.